RNAcentral lists this ribosomal RNA (497 nucleotides) under uncultured bacterium. Its description in RNAcentral is "partial 16S ribosomal RNA". It matches the Rfam family "Bacterial small subunit ribosomal RNA", at positions 28 to 507 of the family's 1533-position model. The record is from RNAcentral.
GAUGAACGCUGGCGGCGUGCCUAAUACAUGCAAGUCGAGCGAACGGACGAGAAGCUUGCUUCUCUGAUGUUAGCGGCGGACGGGUGAGUAACACGUGGAUAACCUACCUAUAAGACUGGGAUAACUUCGGGAAAACGGAGCUAAUACCGGAUAAUAUUUUGAACCGCAUGGUUCAAAAGUGAAAGACGGUCUUGGUGUCACUUAUAGAUGGAUCCGCGCUGCAUUAGCUAGUUGGUAAGGUAACGGCUUACCAAGGCAACGAUGCAUAGCCGACCUGAGAGGGUGAUCGGCCACACUGGAACUGAGACACGGUCCAGACUCCUACGGUAGGCAGCAGUAGGGAAUCUUCCGCAAUGGGCGAAAGCCUGACGGAGCAACGCCGCGUGAGUGAUGAAGGUCUUCGGAUCGUAAAACUCUGUUAUUAGGGAAGAACAUAUGUGUAAGUAACUGUGCACAUCUUGACGGUACCUAAUCAGAAAGCCACGGCUAACUACGUG